This is a long non-coding RNA of Anas platyrhynchos (mallard), 1121 nucleotides long. RefSeq lists it as uncharacterized. Lineage: Eukaryota; Metazoa; Chordata; Aves; Anseriformes; Anatidae. The record is from RefSeq and is a predicted model, not a curated record.
CUGAAAUCUGUCUGAAAGAAGGAAGGAUGAGCAGCCCAUUUAUCCACUGAAGCUUACCAGAUUUAGACCAGAGAAAUUUACAGCCCUUGUUUAGGCAAUCCUCCAUUCAAGCAGGAAGAUUUCUUUUGUGGUCUGAUACCACUGAAUAUACAGAAGCUUGUGGUUCUCUGGAUGCUGUUACCAACUUUUUGCUAUCUAAAAAUCUCCGGAAACAUACUCUGCUACCUCCAGCAGGAAUGAAAGAAAGCAUCAGAGAAGCCAUUGUAUCAUCAGACAAAUCUCUUACACAGAAUGUAAGCACAGAAGCUGCAUGUGAAAGCUUGAGGAGAAGCAGUUGAAGGCCCUGAGAGAAAGGCAGGGGGAGCAGAUGUGAGCCACAACCUCAUUUCUGUACCACAGUGUAAAAUUCUGCACAGCACUCACCAACAUGGAAGCUGAUGUAGCUGCACCCAAGGAGAGCACUGAUACUGAGCCAGCUCAGUAGAGCUAGCUCAGCUAGCUCAUUAGAGAGCAUCAUCUGAAGGGAAAUUUCCUUAAAGCUAACUUUUCUUUUUGCUUGAAGAUGUAUACUACUAACAAUAUAUUUUUUUUCAUUUAGUCUCAAAAAAUAUCUUUUAACCAUCUGAAAAUUUAUGCUGACAAAUAAUAACACAUAAUUCCCCAAACAAGUUUUUCUCUAACUUCCUAUCCUGCUAUCACUUCUGAGUACUCCUGAAAGCUGGAACAACUAAAAUAAUCUUCCAAUCAGUCUCGGUAGAACAAAAACAGAUUAUUUUACAUUAUUAAACAACAGCAACAGCAGUUAAAAGGUGAUAAACUUUAGGGUUCAAUGUGAAGAAGAGAACACUGACUGCUUUGUAUCCAUGGAAACACCCUGGUAAGAGUCUUCAUUUUUGCUUUGAGCUGUUUGUGCCAACACGGAACUUAUAACUGAACAUGGUGACAGAGAAGGAAGGGCUGCUUACUUGGAAGCUGUUAAAGUAUCUGUCUCUAGUAACUCUGCAAUAUAUCAUACUAUUCCAGCUUUCACACUGCCUAGAAUGUGCAUGUGUGUGAGUAUACCCACAGAUGCACACCACUAAAGAAAGCAAACAAACAAACAAAAAGAAACAAACAGACAA